This 337-nucleotide ribosomal RNA is filed under the name Candidatus Roseomonas massiliae. Its description in RNAcentral is "bacterial SSU rRNA". It matches the Rfam family "Bacterial small subunit ribosomal RNA", at positions 371 to 720 of the family's 1533-position model. Lineage: Bacteria; Pseudomonadati; Pseudomonadota; Alphaproteobacteria; Acetobacterales; Roseomonadaceae. The record is from RNAcentral.
AUGGGCGCAAGCCUGAUCCAGCAAUGCCGCGUGGGUGAAGAAGGUCUUCGGAUCGUAAAGCCCUUUCGACGGGGUACGAUGAUGACGGUACCCGUAGUAAGAAGCCCCGGCUAACUUCGUGCCAGCAGCCGCGGUAAUACGAAGGGGGCUAGCGUUGCUCGGAAUUACUGGGCGUAAAGGGCGCGUAGGCGGUCAUUUUAGUCAGGCGUGAAAUUCCCGGGCUUAACCUGGGGACUGCGCUUGAUUACUGGGUGACUAGAGGGUGGAAGAGGGUCGUGGAAAUUUCCCAGUGUAGAGGUGAAAUUCGUAGAUAUUGGGAAGAACACCGGUGGCGCAA